CCUACGGGAGGCAGCAGUGAGGAAUAUUGGUCAAUGUGCGGAAGCCUGAACCCGCCAAGUAGCGUGCAGGAUGACGGCCCUACGGGUUGUAAACUGCUUUUAUACGGGACUAACGCGCCUUCCGUGUAGGGCUUUGCAUGUACCGUCUGAAUAAGGACCGGCUAAUUCCGUGCCAGCAGCCGCGGUAAUCCGGAAGGUCCGGGCGUUAUCCGGAUUUAUUGGGUUUAACGUGAGCGUAGGCCGCAUGUCAAGCGUGCUGUGAAAUGUCCGGGCUCAACCCGGGCCUUGCAGCGCGAACUGGCGUGCGUGAGUCCGCGGAAAGCAGGCGGAAUUCGUCGUGUAGCGGUGAAAUGCUUAGAUAUGACGAAGAACCCCGAUUGCGAAGGCAGCUUGCUGCAGCGGAACUGACGCUGAUGCUCGAAAGCGCGGGUAUCGAACAGGAUUAGAUACCCGGGUAGUC
This 460-nucleotide ribosomal RNA is filed under the name uncultured bacterium. RNAcentral describes it as "partial 16S ribosomal RNA". It matches the Rfam family "Bacterial small subunit ribosomal RNA", at positions 338 to 795 of the family's 1533-position model. The record is from RNAcentral.